RNAcentral lists this ribosomal RNA (599 nucleotides) under uncultured bacterium. Its description in RNAcentral is "bacterial SSU rRNA". It matches the Rfam family "Bacterial small subunit ribosomal RNA", at positions 55 to 700 of the family's 1533-position model. The record is from RNAcentral.
AUGCAAGUUCGAGCGCGCCCUUCGGGGUGAGCGGCGGACGGGUGAGUAACUUUGGGAAUAUGCCCUUCUCUAAGGAAUAGCCUCUGGAAACGGAGAGUAAUACCUUAUACGCCCUUUGGGGGAAAGAUUUAUCGGAGAAGGAUUAGCCCGCGUUAGAUUAGGUAGUUGGUGGGGUAAUGGCCUACCAAGCCUACGAUCUAUAGCUGGUUUGAGAGGAUGAUCAGCCACACUGGGACUGAGACACGGCCCAGACUCCUACGGGAGGCAGCAGUAGGGAAUCUUAGACAAUGGGGGCAACCCUGAUCUAGCCAUGCCGCGUGUGUGAUGAAGGCCCUAGGGUCGUAAAGCACUUUCGCCAGAGAUGAUAAUGACAGUAUCUGGUAAAGAAACCCCGGCUAACUCCGUGCCAGCAGCCGCGGUAAUACGGAGGGGGUUAGCGUUGUUCGGAAUUACUGGGCGUAAAGCGCACGUAGGCGGAUUAGUAAGUUAGAGGUGAAAUCCCAGGGCUCAACCCUGGAACUGCCUUUAAUACUGCUAGUCUUGAGUUCGAGAGAGGUAAGUGGAAUUCCGAGUGUAGAGGUGAAAUUCGUAGAUAUUCG